RNAcentral lists this ribosomal RNA (408 nucleotides) under uncultured microorganism. Its description in RNAcentral is "bacterial SSU rRNA". It matches the Rfam family "Archaeal small subunit ribosomal RNA", at positions 330 to 745 of the family's 1478-position model. The record is from RNAcentral.
GUGCACCAGUCGAGAAACUUUACAAUGUGCGAAAGCACGAUAAGGGAACUCUGAGUGCCUCCUAAGGAGGCUGUUCAGGUGUCUAAAAGCACCUGAAGGAAGGGCUGGGUAAGACCGGUGCCAGCCGCCGCGGUAACACCGGCAGCCCAAGUGGUAGCCACGUUUAUUGGGUCUAAAGCGUCCGUAGCCGGCUGGGUAAGUUCCUUGGGAAAUUUGGCUGCUUAACAGUCAAGCUUUCAGGGAAUACUGCCCGGCUUGGGACCGGGAGAGGUCAGAGGUACUCCAGGGGUAGGGGUGAAAUCCAUUAAUCCUUGGGGGACCACCGGUAGCGAAGGCGUCUGACCAGACCGGGUCCGACGGUGAGGGACGAAGGCUAGGGGCGCGAACCGGAUUAGAUACCCGGGUAGU